Molecule: non-coding RNA, 3872 nt
Organism: Pantherophis guttatus
Lineage: Eukaryota; Metazoa; Chordata; Lepidosauria; Squamata; Colubridae
Source: RefSeq, a predicted model, not a curated record
GUUCAUUGUAUCUUAUGAACUUGAAAAGAUCUUGGAAUGGCAGUGACUGGAGGCAGAGGUGGGUGUUCCUGCCACUGAAUAAAAGCCAAUUGGAGUGAAUAUAUUUAACUACAAUGAAAUAGUGCAGUAUAGAAUAAAACAACACUGCUUAAGCUGGCCCAAAUGUACAAUAAGUACUUUUGAUGCCUGGCAGAAAAAAUGGGUGGAGGUUGCCUUUCCAGUGGGCUGGGUGCUCGUAGGGGACAACAUUGUGAUGUUUUGCUCUCAAGAAAUGCUUAGUGGCCUAUAUUUGAUCUGUAGAAAGCUAACCAUGCAGAUUUUUUAAAGGUACAAGACCCAUUGCCAUAUAUUUAAAAGAGGAUGUCCAACUCUCUGGUCUCAGAAAAAAAAUCUGUCAAUUUUGUCAGUAGAUUUAUAAAAUAAGCAUGUAGGGCAGUGUUUUUCGAUCUUGACAACUUUAAGAUGUGUGGACUUUAACUCCCAGAACUAAUUCUUGGAGUUCACACAUCUUAAAAGUUGUUACUGUAAGUUUGAAAAACACUGUUGUAGGAAAAAAGAGACCUCACUGGAAAUUCAGCCAGUUUUGUACAGGGUCCAUUAAUCUCUGUAAUAACUAGGAUGCCACUACUAAACGGGUCUUAUGCCCAGAGAUAACAUUUCUCACAUAAUUUAUUGUUUCUGACACACAGAAAUGUUUCUGUAUCCAAAGAAUUUGAAAUGUUUAAAAUAUUAAAUAAAAUAGAGAACAUAACAGACAGAUUUAUUCAUUCCCUCCCAUGCCUGGGAUUAUGUUUAGACCAUCCAACAAAAUGUUGCCAUCAUUAAAAUUGAUGAGUCCUUAAAAUUGAUAAGGCCCUUGGAAAAUAGACAAGCAAGUUUUGGAUUAAUUAAACUAUAAACAUGGUGAUUGGGCCAUAGAACUUUUAAGAUAUUACCUAAUCGUUUUUUAAAGUCAUGUAUGACUAUCAUCACAACAUGAACAGUUAAAUUCAUACCUUAAUAAGAACAAUUCAUCCAACCUCAUGUUUCAAUGGAACAGCUACUCCAGAUACUACAUAUUCUUUGAUAUUGCUUCCAUUUGUACUUGAGCACCCCCCCCCCAAACAAUAUGUGGUAAUCUGCUGUGAGUCUUCUGGAGGGAGUUGACUACAAAUUUAAUAACAGAAUAAAAACAUCACCUUGGUUACUCUGCUGACCCAAGCACAACACACAGAUUCAGAAAGCAUACAUUAUGUAAAGAAAAUACUUAUUCAAGAUCUCAUUUAUUUUGACUCCUUUAAAUAUAUCUAUCUAAGAAAAUUAGACAAGUUAUGCUUAAAUGACAGGUGACAGGACUGGAGAUAAUUUGUUUAAAGUCAUAUAGUAUAUAUACUAAAACCCCUCUUCUCUGGCACUAAUCACAGCUAAAGGUAGUAAUUACUAUAUUAUUUCUCGGUUCAUGCUAAGCAGUAGAUUCUUGACACACUAUUUGUUUAAGGGUACUUAAUGCUGCAGUUGUAUGCAUGCUGCACGGGAGGAAACUCCAUAAAAUAUACUGUGACAUAUUUCUAAGUAAACAUGCAUAUGAUUAUACCAAGCUCAGCAAAUGCCAAGAUCUCUACAUUUUCUUUAGAUAUGCUGUGUGUCUAAAAUAAAUAGAAAAAAUAACUUUAAAUUCUCAGAACUGAAAGGCAUGUCUAAAUGGAAACAUUUAGGAUAGUGUAGGGAAACAAUAAUAUAGAAUAUAAAAUACUGAUAUACUAGAUUUAGUAAAAGCUUGUUAUUCUGUAAUCAUUAGGUUCCUGUAACAUAUAUAUUGUGCUUUUGUAUCACAUAUAUUAUUCCUUUCUAUUUGUAUCUCCUGUUACAAACAUAUUGUCAUUAGGCCUCUGAAAUGUAUCUGGUAUUUGUCAAACGUAUGUCCCUGCCAUUUGACCUGCUCAUAUCAAUCUCUUUCUGUGCCACCUAAAAACAUGGUAUGUAUCUGUUGGAACUCCAGCCAUCAACAAAGGGGUAAUUUACAACUCAAUCCUAAUUUAUGUCUGAUCUGGGUAAGAUCUGGUCUUCAGGAGCCAGGCGCUAAGUGGCCAAUUAAGUAAACAAAGAUAAGACUAAUUGGAAGUUUAGAUUCCUUUGCAGGGCAACAAAGAAUACACAAACAUAAAUUAAGGGGCCAGAAUUGGGGAUCUAACUGAUGCUUUAAAGGUAUAAAACGUGGUUACAUCUUCUCUGAAGAUGUGAACCCUCCCAUAUACAUAUCUCUUUGUAUGUGUUUGGAAUGGUUUUACCCAGCCUUUUGUCUUUGAUCAAAGAUUAAAUGUUGAUUCUUAUUCAAGCCUCCGUUUAAGUCUUUCUUUUUGGUUCACUGAGAGCUUAAGCGUAUAGCCGGACCUUACAUUUCUGGCGCCCAACGAACGUGGGGCUUGAAGGCAAAGUUUUCCUUCAAGGUUGCCACAUUUGCCCCCCCCCCCAUACAGCCAACCCCCUUGUGGUUUGGCGGCCUUCACCAACGGCGUACGGAAGAAACCGGCGAGGACCAGAGACGACGUCAAGAGCGCUCCCGGCAAGUUUAAACCAGUGACUUCGACCUGGUCGGCCGUCGGCAGAUUCUGUUUCCAGCCGGACCUGAACGCCCUAAUUGAGGCUUGAAUUGGGUAUUGGGGAAGAUUGUCCUCUGCUAGGUCCAAUCCGCUUUACCUCCAGCUGCUGACGUGCCACCAUUGGCUGAACCGGGCCAGUGGGUAAGGAUCAAAGAACUCUCUCCCACCUGCACUCAGCCCAAGUGGUCUACACCCCGUCAGGUUCUUCUGAGCACCCCCACGGCUGUGAAAGUGGACGGCGUCAAAGCGUGGGUCCACGCAUCACGAGUCAAGCACGUCCCCGAGCCCCCUGAGCAGUGGCAAGUCCAACAGCUGGAAGGACUCAAGCUGAAACUUCACCGCUCCCCAGCAUCGCCUGCUGACCUGUUCACUGAUGAACUGGAUAGACUGGACACCCAUUGAAUAUAUUUGAUUUGCUGUUUUUGUUGUCUUUGCUCUUUUUCUGCUCUGUUGCUGCUGGUUUCCCCGCACAUUCUUUGGAAAAGGUGACAAUGGCUCUGAUCUUUAUUUUGGUUCCACAACUUGUCUCAAUGUUUUUGAUCCUCGGGACUUUUAUACCCGCAGCCAAACUCUUCCCCAACUGAACCUCACAUGAUCCUUAAAACCAUCCCUACUAAAUAUGUACCUCUUUUACAGCAUGAUGGAAAGCAUUCCAUCGUUUAAAUAAAAAGAGUGAAAUGUAGGGAAACAAUAAUAUAGAAUAUAAAAUACUGAUAUACUAGAUUUAGUAAAAGCUUGUUAUUCUGUAAUCAUUAGGUUCCUGUAACAUAUAUAUUGUGCUUUUGUAUCACAUAUAUUAUUCCUUUCUAUUUGUAUCUCCUGUUACAAACAUAUUGUCAUUAGGCCUCUGAAAUGUAUCUGGUAUUUGUCAAACGUAUGUCCCUGCCAUUUGACCUGCUCAUAUCAAUCUCUUUCUGUGCCACCUAAAAACAUGGUAUGUAUCUGUUGGAACUCCAGCCAUCAACAAAGGGGUAAUUUACAACUCAAUCCUAAUUUAUGUCUGAUCUGGGUAAGAUCUGGUCUUCAGGAGCCAGGCGCUAAGUGGCCAAUUAAGUAAACAAAGAUAAGACUAAUUGGAAGUUUAGAUUCCUUUGCAGGGCAACAAAGAAUACACAAACAUAAAUUAAGGGGCCAGAAUUGGGGAUCUAACUGAUGCUUUAAAGGUAUAAAACGUGGUUACAUCUUCUCUGAAGAUGUGAACCCUCCCAUAUACAUAUCUCUUUGUAUGUGUUUGGAAUGGUUUUACCCAGCCUUUUGUCUUUGAUCAAAGAUUAAAUGUUGAUUCUUAUUCAA